GACGAACGCUGGCGGCGUGCCUAACACAUGCAAGUCGAGCGGGGUUGAAGCGAGAGGUAACUCGAACUUCUACCUAGCGGCGGACGGGUGAGUAACGCGUGGGCAACCUGCCUCAAGGUCUGGGAUAACAGCCCGAAAGGGCUGCUAAUACCGGGUAUGCUUGUGGCCUCGCAUGGGGCUACGAGCAAAGGGGAAACCCGCCUUGAGAUGGGCCCGCGUCCCAUCAGCUAGUUGGUGAGGUAACAGCUCACCAAGGCGACGACGGGUAGCCGGCCUGAGAGGGUGACCGGCCACACUGGGACUGAGACACGGCCCAGACUCCUACGGGGGCAGCAGUGGGGGAUCUUGCACAAUGGGCGAAAGCCUGAUGCAGCGACGCCGCGUGAGCGAAGAAGGCCUUCGGGUUGUAAAGCUCUGUCUGGAGGGACGAAGGAAGUGACGGUACCUCCGGAGGAAGCCACGGCUAACUACGUG
Molecule: ribosomal RNA, 474 nt
Filed under: uncultured bacterium
Lineage: Bacteria
Description: bacterial SSU rRNA
Rfam family: Bacterial small subunit ribosomal RNA
Source: RNAcentral